GAGGUGACUUUAGAUAUACAGAACUCCCACUGACUACCAAAAGUUUUGUCUGGCGUCAGAAGAUAGAAAUUAGAAGAGCUUUAGCUAAGGAGGCUGAGAGACACUUGGCCUGAGUGAUUCCUAAAAGAUGCUUGAAAGGUAUUUUCUGAAGAAGACAGAGGCAGAGCACUACUGAGUAAUACCUGCAGUGCUCUUUAGCAAGUUCUGCCAAGAAGCAGC
Pipra filicauda (Wire-tailed manakin) is the source of this 219-nucleotide long non-coding RNA. RefSeq lists it as uncharacterized. The transcript is spliced from 3 exons. The record is from RefSeq and is a predicted model, not a curated record. Lineage: Eukaryota; Metazoa; Chordata; Aves; Passeriformes; Pipridae.